AUGGAUCUUGGUGAAACGGUAGGAAAUUUUUUGUUUUCUACAACGUUCCCCAACACCUUUGAGGUGGGUAGCAUGGACCGGGGCGAAUUCUUCGUUAGUAUGGAGAUCUUCGAGCGUGCCCUGAACUUCAAAUGGGAGGUCAUAAUUGUAUACGGACCCGCGGACCACCGGUGCUCCCCGACCUUCUUAGCAGAGCUACAGCUGAAUAUCUCUAACUCCCUCCUCCCAGUUCUCGUGGGCGGAGACAUUAACCUCAUCCGAUCCCCGGAUGAGAAGAAUAAUGAUCGGAUUAACUUCCCCCGGAUGCAGUUAUUCAACGAUUGGAUCGCAGAGCUGGGGCUCCGCGAGCUUGAUCGGACGGGGGCCAGGUUCACCUGGACGAACUGGCAGAUUGACCCGACACAAUCCGUCUUGGAUCAUGUCCUAGUUUCCCCGGAAUGGGAAUUACGCUGCCCCCUGGCCUCGCUCCGGGCUGUCACCCGGAUCGGGUCUGACCAUGUCCCCCUCCUCUCCACCGCCGACGAGCUGUCUUCCACCCCGCCGCAAUUCCGGUUCGAGCCCUUCUGGCUCAAUCAGGCCAGCUUCCGGGAGGCUGUCGUCGCUCGCUGGAUUUCCGCUCGCUCUGCACCCCAUCGCUCCAUGUCUGUUGUGGACUCGUGGCACUUCUGCGCCAAGCUCGCCCGCCAAUUCAUGAAGGGUUGGGGGGCUAACCUUGGCCGGGACCUUAAAGAUCGCAAAAAGGCCCUAUUGUCGGCUACCCAAGCCUUGGACGCCCGCGCCGACUCGACCGGGAUCUCCCCAGAUGAGUGGAUGUUGCAAUACGACCUUGAAGACCAGCUCUCCACCAUCUACACCGAUGAAGAGGCCUACUGGCGCUUGCGCGGUACCCAACGGUGGGUGCUUCGGGGUGAUGCCAACACCGCCUAUUUCCAGGCGGUGGCGAACGGCCGGCGUCGUCGCAAUUCCAUCCACUGCCUGUGGGAUGGCGGCAUGCCUAUCGUUCUCCCCUCGGCCAUCCGUACCCAUAUAGACGGCUUCUAUAAAGCCCUAUUUAAUCACCCCCACCCCGCAGGGUGGGACCAGUCUUGCCCCCGACACUUGGUCGGGUACGCAAUUGGUCUCGGCUGA
Molecule: ribosomal RNA, 1128 nt
Filed under: Triticum aestivum (bread wheat)
Lineage: Eukaryota; Viridiplantae; Streptophyta; Magnoliopsida; Poales; Poaceae
Description: partial small subunit ribosomal RNA
Source: RNAcentral